This 71-nucleotide transfer RNA is filed under the name Loxodonta africana (African savanna elephant). It matches the Rfam family "tRNA". Rfam says of the family: Transfer RNA (tRNA) molecules are approximately 80 nucleotides in length. Their secondary structure includes four short double-helical elements and three loops (D, anti-codon, and T loops). Lineage: Eukaryota; Metazoa; Chordata; Mammalia; Proboscidea; Elephantidae. The record is from Rfam by way of RNAcentral.
CCCAGGGUGGUGCAAAUGUUAACGCGUUUGGCUUCUAACCAAAAGGUUGGAAGUUUGAGUCUACCCAGGGA